RNAcentral lists this ribosomal RNA (1449 nucleotides) under uncultured Bordetella sp. Its description in RNAcentral is "partial 16S-23S ribosomal RNA intergenic spacer". It matches the Rfam family "Bacterial small subunit ribosomal RNA". Lineage: Bacteria; Pseudomonadati; Pseudomonadota; Betaproteobacteria; Burkholderiales; Alcaligenaceae. The record is from RNAcentral.
UUUGAUCCUGGCUCAGAUUGAACGCCGGUGUGGAUGCUUUACGUUACGUCGAACGGCAGCACGGACUUCGGUCUGGUGGCGAGUGGCGAACGGGUGAGUAAUGUAUCGGAACGUGCCUAGUAGCGGGGGAUAACUACGCGAAAGCGUAGCCAAUACCGCAUACGCCCUUCGGGGGAAAAGCGGGGACCUUCGGGCUCCGCACUAUUAGAGCGGCCGAUAUCAGAUUAGCUAGUUGGUGGGGUAACGGCUCACCAGGGCGACGAUCCGUAGCUGUUUCGAGAGAUUGUUCAGCUACAUCGGGACUGGAAGAUACGCCCAGACUCCUACGUGAGCAGGCAGUGGAAUUUUUGACAAUGGGGAACUGAUCCAAAGCUACCCGCGUGUGCGAUGAAGGCUUUCGGCCAGGGAAGCACUUUGGCAGGAAAGAAACGGCACGGAUAAUACCCGUGCAACUGACGGGAAGUUCGUGAGAAUAAGCACCGGCUAACUACGUGCCAGCAGCCGCGGUAAUACGUAGGGUGCAAGCGUUAAUCGGAAUUACUGGUGGCGAAGUGCAGGCGAAGCCUGAGCACAUGGAACUUCAGAGCUUAACUUUGAACUGCAUUUUUAACUACCGAGCUAGAGUGUCAGAGGGAGGGACUCCGUGCGUGAGUAAAUGUGGGAUAUGUGAGGAACACCGAUGGCGAAGGCAGCCUCCUGGGAUAACACUGACGCUCAUGCACGAAAGCGUGGGGAGCAAACAGACGAUAUCUGUAGUUCAACGGCUCAACGAGGCCAACAGCUGUUGGGGCCUUCUGGGCCUUGGUAGCGCAAGCUAACGCGUGAAGUUGACCGCCUGGGGAGUACGGUCGCAAGAUUAAAACUCAAAGGAAUUGACGGGGACCCGCACAAGCGGUGGAUGAUGUGGAUUAAUUCGAUGCAACGCGAAAAAACCUUACCUACCCUUGACAUGGUCUGGAAUCCCGAAGAGAUUUGGGAGUGCUCGCAAGAGAACCGGAACACAGGUGCUGCAUGGCUGUCGCUGGGCCGCCGUGAGAUGUUGGGUUAAGUCCCGCAACGAGCGCAACCCUUGUCAUUAGUUGCUACGAAAGGGCACUCUAAUGAGACUGCCGGUGACAACCGGAGGAAGGUGGGGAUGACGUCAGGUCCUCAUGGCCCUUAUGGGUAGGGCUUCACACGUCAUACAAUGGUCGGGACAGAGGGUCGCCAACCCGGCGAGGGGGAGCCAAUCCCAGAAACCCGAUCGUAGAGUCCUUCGAUCAGUCGUAACUCCAUCCGUGCAGUUUCGGAACGCUAGUAAUCGUGGAUCAGCACGUCGCGGUGAAUACGUUCCCGGUCUUGUACACACCGCCCGUCACACCAUGGGAGGCAUUUUACCAGCAAAGAGGUCAAUCGUUAGAGGGCGAUUACCACGGUAGGAUUCAUGACUGGGGUGAAGUCAACAAGGUA